RNAcentral lists this ribosomal RNA (159 nucleotides) under Calonarius elegantior. Its description in RNAcentral is "5.8S ribosomal RNA". It matches the Rfam family "5.8S ribosomal RNA". From Rfam's summary of the family: 5.8S ribosomal RNA (5.8S rRNA) is a component of the large subunit of the eukaryotic ribosome. It is transcribed by RNA polymerase I as part of the 45S precursor that also contains 18S and 28S rRNA. The record is from RNAcentral. Lineage: Eukaryota; Fungi; Basidiomycota; Agaricomycetes; Agaricales; Cortinariaceae.
GAUACAACUUUCAGCAACGGAUCUCUUGGCUCUCGCAUCGAUGAAGAACGCAGCGAAAUGCGAUAAGUAAUGUGAAUUGCAGAAUUCAGUGAAUCAUCGAAUCUUUGAACGCACCUUGCGCUCCUUGGUAUUCCGAGGAGCAUGCCUGUUUGAGUGUCA